This 54-nucleotide transfer RNA is filed under the name Schistocephalus solidus. The record is from Rfam by way of RNAcentral. Lineage: Eukaryota; Metazoa; Platyhelminthes; Cestoda; Diphyllobothriidea; Diphyllobothriidae.
UGGCUCAAUGGUAGAGCGUUCGACUCAAAUACCAAAGGUUGGGUUCGAAUCCCA